RNAcentral lists this ribosomal RNA (549 nucleotides) under Aegus philippinensis. Its description in RNAcentral is "partial 16S ribosomal RNA". It matches the Rfam family "Archaeal large subunit ribosomal RNA", at positions 1890 to 2688 of the family's 2987-position model. The record is from RNAcentral. Lineage: Eukaryota; Metazoa; Arthropoda; Insecta; Coleoptera; Lucanidae.
GCCUGUUUAUCAAAAACAUGGCUUGUUGACAAUGAUUUUAAGUCUGGCCUGCCCAAUGAAUGAUUUUAAUGGCCGCGGUAUCAUGACCGUGCAAAGGUAGCAUAAUAAUUAGUUUUUUAAUUGAAAGCUGGAAUGAAUGGUCGGACAAGGAAACAACUGUCUCUAUAAAAAAAAGUAGAAUUUAAUUUUUGAGUCAAAAAGCUUAAAUGUGCUUGAGGGACGAGAAGACCCUAUAGAAUUUAAUAAAUCAAGAAAUUGUAGAUUUUAGGGUUUAUUUUUUUUAAAAUUUUUGAUUUAUUUUGUUGGGGUGACAGAAAAAUUUGUUGAACUUUUUUUUUAAAAAAACAUGAAUUAGUGAAUAUUUGAUCCAUUAUUAAUGAUUAAAAGAUUAAAUUACCUUAGGGAUAACAGCGUUAUUAAUUUGGAGAGUUCUUAUCGAUAAAUUAGUUUGCGACCUCGAUGUUGGAUUAAAAUUAACUUUUGGUGCAGAAGCUAAAAAGUUGGGUCUGUUCGACUUUUAAAAUUUUACAUGAUCUGAGUUCAGACCGG